Macrobrachium nipponense is the source of this 2381-nucleotide long non-coding RNA. RefSeq lists it as uncharacterized. NCBI's taxonomy places the organism in Eukaryota, Metazoa, Arthropoda, Malacostraca, Decapoda, Palaemonidae. The transcript is spliced from 5 exons. The record is from RefSeq and is a predicted model, not a curated record.
CAGAACCAGGAAAAGUUGCCUGCCCGCAAACCCACAUAAACGUUGAAGUGCGCAUGCGGAGCUGUUCUGACUGAGGGCUGAGGCUAAGUGCUGACUCACCGAGUCAGACAUCCAAUGAGGAGGUGGUCGAGGUACGUGCUCGAGUCGCCUACGCACGAAAGAAAAACUGCCACUGUUGUUUACAUUAAUGUUCAGGUUUAGGCAUAACGUCGCAGGCACAGCAACUAGUGACGGUCUUGCAUUGUAGCAGCUGCUGAUGCUGCCAUCUACUGACAGAAAGAGUGUACUUCCUGGUGUACUAGAGGAGAUCAAGAAAACCCUUCAUCAUUCACUGGAAGCUGUUGCCAAGUUCUGCUGACCAGGAAGAUUCUCCAGUACAAUGCUGCCUCAGAAGAUAGAAAACCUGAAUCAUUCGCAGGGAGCGAGGUGGGGAAUUAAGGACGACUUUGGCUUGUGUCAUGACAACUACAGGUCCUCUCUGAUACAAAGAUCACCAUUUAAGGCAGCCAUCGUAUGAAGCAGGGAUGUCUCGGAUGUCGAGAAAAAUUAUCUGAAAUCGUUCCCUGGAACAAACUCCAAAUUUCUUGCACUCAAUUCUCCAGAAUGAGCCUGCACCCAGAGCACUCAAUUCUCCAGAAUGAGCCUGCACCCAGAGUGCUACAACCUGUUCUCUGAACGAAUCAUUAAAUUCUCACGGUCGAUUCCCUUGAACGAGUCCCGUUCUGCAAAGUGCCACUAUGCGUUCUCUCUAACAAACUAAAAACCGUUCUCUGAAAUGAAACCUUAAAUUCUCAUGCUCGAUUCCCCGGAACAGGCCCGCACCAAGAGUGGUACAACCCGCUCUACGGAGCAAACCCCUAAUUCUUGUGCUCAGUUUCCCCUGGAUGAGCCCGUACUACCUAGUGUCACCAUACAAUGUUUCAAGUACCCCAGAACCGGUCCACAUAUCAAACCUCCAACUUUGUGCUCGAUCCGGAACGAGCCCGCAUGCCCAUGCCACUACCUAUUCAUCUGAAUUAACCUGAACCGUUUCCCGAAACAAAGUCUUACAUGAACUGUGAUAUACCGCACCUUAAGGGACUCUCCAAGUCCACACCAUCUACAACUUGACCUUAAGUUAUCCCGAUCCACACGUUACGUACCCAAAUUGCCCAACUGUACCCUGCCCACGUCAGAGUGCCAUCUCCACUCUGUGCCAUUGCUUGCCCAGCUAACCCUUCUCCUAUCCCCCAUAUUUUUUCCCUUCGACUCCCUAAAACUCCAGCACCAUGCAGGCCGAAGACUACAAAGCUUUCAUGGUUGAUGAAUGAGAGGCAGGAGAUAGAAGCCAAGGAAUCCCCCAAUAUGUCCGCCGAGUGCUGUUGCUUGGUGGAUGGUUGGGACACCUUCCAUCUCUUUGCCAGCUCCUUGGGAUGGAAAAUCAGUCCUUCUUAUUACACCUCCAGGUCAACUCAGCCCAAGAAUGAGCAUCCUGUGUGCAGCCAUUGCUAAAAGAUUGGCCACCCGACUAACCAGUGCCGCCUGAACGCUGAGGCCCAGCUGAAGGCCCCUAUUAAUAGUUCCAAAGCAGGACCACUCCCAUCUGAGCCACUCCUCGCUCUUGGGUGAACAACAGCCGGCCUGCUCUCCCCACAAGGCAGUGCCAAGGAAAGACUUCAGCUAGGAAACUUGUAAGGACUGUGGCCAGAAGGGGCACAUGUCUGUGAGGUAUCGGUACUGUCUGAAAUACUCCGCUUCGAAAGCAGUCCACACCACUGUCAGUUCCUGAACGGAUAGGCCUUGACACCGUGGCACAUAGCAGCCCUCAAUGGCUCCACCCCACCUCGAAUGCUGCCCAACAUUAUCGACACUUAGUCAGAAGUCAGCAUGCUCACUCGGGAGCAUGUACCUCCUGGUGCCACCAUCCACGAAUAAGAGCGGAUGACAGUUUGCUGAGGCAACGGCAACACAAAGGGCCUCCCUACUGUUAAAAGUACAAAUUAAACAGAAUAAGUAUUUCAUCAACACUGGGCAAGCAUCCAAGCUAUACUCAUUCAUUUUACGUGAAAACUCACGGAAUAACACUGGACUGAAAGUUCGGUGAUUGCCAGAUCGAAAGAUUUUUCUUCACAUAAUCUUUUAGAAUCCACUGUUAUACGCCCUGGGAUGUACUAUUUGGGCCCCUGUAUUAGUAAAAUAUUCAAGAAUGACCUAAAAGAAAAAAACAUUGACUUAAUUACAAAUAGUUACCUUAUAUAUGUUUUCUAUGUAUUCGUAUGUUUAAUAGUUUUUGGUAAAAAUGUUCACCUUUGAAAUAUUAUUGUUUACCAAAUGGAGAAUUGUUGAGUAGUACUUUUAUAAAGUUUUUGGUGGUCAGUCACCUUCCUUGUAUAACCUUUAAU